UACGUAGGGUGCAAGCGUUGUCCGGAAUUAUUGGGCGUAAAGAGCUCGUAGGCGGUCUGUCGCGUCGGAUGUGAAAACCCAGGGCUCAACCCUGGGCCUGCAUUCGAUACGGGCAGACUAGAGUUCGGUAGGGGAGACUGGAAUUCCUGGUGUAGCGGUGAAAUGCGCAGAUAUCAGGAGGAACACCGGUGGCGAAGGCGGGUCUCUGGGCCGAUAUUGACGCUGAGGAGCGAAAGCGUGGGGAGCAAACAGG
Molecule: ribosomal RNA, 253 nt
Filed under: uncultured bacterium
Lineage: Bacteria
Description: partial 16S ribosomal RNA
Rfam family: Bacterial small subunit ribosomal RNA
Source: RNAcentral